UCGGGAAUUUUGGGCAAUGGGCGAAAGCCUGACCCAGCAACGCCGCGUGAAGGAUGAAGUAUUUCGGUAUGUAAACUUCGUAAGAAUAGGAAGAAUAAAUGACGGUACUAUUUGUAAGGUCCGGCUAACUACGUGCCAGCAGCCGCGGUAAUACGUAGGGACCAAGCGUUGUUCGGAUUUACUGGGCGUAAAGGGCGCGUAGGCGGUGUGUCAAGUCAGUUGUGAAAUCUCCGAGCUUAACUCGGAACGGUCAACUGAUACUGUCACACUAGAGUACAGAAGGGGCAAUCGGAAUUCUUGGUGUAGCGGUGAAAUGCGUAGAUAUCAAGAGGAACACCUGAGGCGAAGGCGGGUUGCUGGGCUGAUACUGACGCUGAGGCACGAAAGCGUGGGGAGCAAACAGGAUUAGAUACCCCGGUAGUCCCUGAGCGGGCUGGCAAGGCGCAU
RNAcentral lists this ribosomal RNA (447 nucleotides) under uncultured bacterium. RNAcentral's name for it is "bacterial SSU rRNA". It matches the Rfam family "Bacterial small subunit ribosomal RNA", at positions 355 to 825 of the family's 1533-position model. The record is from RNAcentral.